AUUGAACGCUGGCGGCAUGCCUUAUACAUGCAAGUCGAACGGCAGCAUGGAGAGCUUGCUCUCUGAUGGCGAGUGGCGAACGGGUGAGUAAUGCAUCGGAACGUACCGUGUAAUGGGGGAUAACGUAGCGAAAGUUACGCUAAUACCGCAUACGACCUGAGGGUGAAAGCAGGGGAUCGCAAGACCUUGCGUUAUACGAGCGGCCGAUGUCAGAUUAGCUAGUUGGUGAGGUAAAGGCCCACCAAGGCGACGAUCUGUAGCGGGUCUGAGAGGAUGCACCGCCACGCUGGGACUGAGAAACGGCCCAGACUCCUGCGGGAGGCAGCAGUGGGGAAUUUUGGACAAUGGGGGCAACCCUGAUCCAGCCAUGCCGCGUGAGUGAAGAAGGCCUUCGGGUUGUAAAGCUCUUUCGGCCGGGAAGAAAUCGCACAGGCUAAUACUCUGUGUGGAUGACGGUACCGGCAUAAGAAGCACCGGCUAACUACGUGCCAGCCGCCGCCGUAA
RNAcentral lists this ribosomal RNA (504 nucleotides) under uncultured bacterium. RNAcentral's name for it is "partial 16S ribosomal RNA". It matches the Rfam family "Bacterial small subunit ribosomal RNA", at positions 30 to 523 of the family's 1533-position model. The record is from RNAcentral.